GAAAUACUCCCUCCGGUCGGAAAUACUUGUCAGAGAAAUGGAUGUAUCUAGAUGUAUUUUAAUUCUAGAUACAUCCAUUUUUAUCCAUUUCUUCGACAAGUAUUACCGAACGAAGGGAGUAUGAU
Non-coding RNA from Triticum aestivum (bread wheat), 125 nucleotides. NCBI's taxonomy places the organism in Eukaryota, Viridiplantae, Streptophyta, Magnoliopsida, Poales, Poaceae. The record is from Rfam.